GCCCAGCUUGCUGGGUACUCGAGUGGCGAACGGGUGAGUAACACGUGGGUGAUCUGCCCUGCACUCUGGGAUAAGCCUGGGAAACUGGGUCUAAUACCGGAUAUGACCAACUGUCGCAUGGUGGUUGGUGGAAAGCUUUUGCGGUGUGGGAUGGGCCCGCGGCCUAUCAGCUUGUUGGUGGGGUAAUGGCCUACCAAGGCGACGACGGGUAGCCGACCUGAGAGGGUGAUCGGCCACACUGGGACUGAGACACGGCCCAGACUCCUACGGGAGGCAGCAGUGGGGAAUAUUGCACAAUGGGCGCAAGCCUGAUGCAGCGACGCCGCGUGAGGGAUGACGGCCUUCGGGUUGUAAACCUCUUUCACCAGGGACGAAGCGUGAGUGACGGUACCUGGAGAAGAAGCACCGGCCAACUACGUGCCAGCAGCCGCGGUAAUACGUAGGGUGCGAGCGUUGUCCGGAAUUACUGGGCGUAAAGAGCUCGUAGGCGGUUUGUCGCGUCGUCUGUGAAAUUCUGCAACUCAAUUGCAGGCGUGCAGGCGAUACGGGCAGACUUGAGUACUACAGGGGAGACUGGAAUUCCUGGUGUAGCGGUGAAAUGCGCAGAUAUCAGGAGGAACACCGGUGGCGAAGGCGGGUCUCUGGGUAGUAACUGACGCUGAGGAGCGAAAGCGUGGGUAGCGAACAGGA
This 690-nucleotide ribosomal RNA is filed under the name Gordonia terrae. RNAcentral describes it as "bacterial SSU rRNA". It matches the Rfam family "Bacterial small subunit ribosomal RNA", at positions 73 to 777 of the family's 1533-position model. Lineage: Bacteria; Bacillati; Actinomycetota; Actinomycetes; Mycobacteriales; Gordoniaceae. The record is from RNAcentral.